Molecule: ribosomal RNA, 843 nt
Filed under: uncultured bacterium
Lineage: Bacteria
Description: bacterial SSU rRNA
Rfam family: Bacterial small subunit ribosomal RNA
Source: RNAcentral
GGACCCUUUCGGGGUCAUAUACCUAGUGGCAGACGGCUGAGUAACGCGUGAGUGACCUGCCCUGGAGAGGGGGAUAACACAGGGAAACCUGUGCUAAUACCGCGUACGCUCAUCAUCGUAAAGGUUGAUGAGGAAACGAAUUUCGCUCUAGGAGGGGCUCGCGUCCUAUCAGGUAGUUGGUGGGGUAAUGGCCUACCAAGCCGAAGACGGGUACCUGGUGUGAGAGCACGACCAGGCAGAGGGGGACUGAGACACGGCCCCCACUCCUACGGGAGGCAGCAGCAGGGAAUCUUCCACAAUGGGCGAAAGCCUGAUGGAGCGACGCCGCGUGGGGGAUGAAGGUUUUCGGAUCGUAAACCCCUUUUCUCAGGGAAGAGUAAGGACGGUACCUGAGGAAUAAGCAUCGGCUAACUACGUGCCAGCAGCCGCGGUAAUACGUAGGAUGCAAGCGUUGUCCGGAAUCACUGGGCGUAAAGGGUCCGUAGGCGGUUUGUUAAGUCUCCUGUGAAAUUUCAGGGCUCAACCCUGAAAGGUCGGGGGAUACUGGCAAACUUGAGACUGUCAGAGGCAAGUGGAAUUCCCGGUGUAGUGGUGAAAUGCGUAGAUAUCGGGAGGAACACCAGUGGCGAAAGCGGCUUGCUGGGACAGUUCUGACGCUGAGGGACGAAAGCGUGGGUAGCAAACCGGAUUAGAUACCCGGGUAGUCCACGCCCUAAACGAUGGAUGCUAGGUUUGCGGGGUAUCGACCCCCUGUGAGCCGUAGGUAACCCGUUAAGCAUCCCGCCUGGGACUACGACCGCAAGGUUAAAACUCAAAGGAAUUGACGGGGGCCCGCACAAGCAG